GUGGAAUUUUCUUGUAGUGAAUUCGUUUUUGAGACGCAUCUUAAGCCCGAACUGCUGGUCGAGCGAAGCUGCAACUCUAAGUGAGGAGUGUUAUUCCAUCGGCUUACAGAUAUCCAGCCUUUCUAUUGGCAGAUGAGAGUAGUUAUUGUCAAGCAAAAGAGUCAAAGGUAAGAAAGUGAAGAGGAGAUUUAGAAGUGAAAGAAACAUUACGUCACUGAUGACAGCAUUACUAACAGCAUGAGAAGUAAACUUCACCCAUUGUUGGAUUGAUAUUUGAAGACUAGCUGUGAUCGAAGAGAUCGUGAUGGUGAAAGUCGGG
Long non-coding RNA from Uloborus diversus, 319 nucleotides. RefSeq lists it as uncharacterized. Lineage: Eukaryota; Metazoa; Arthropoda; Arachnida; Araneae; Uloboridae. The transcript is spliced from 3 exons. The record is from RefSeq and is a predicted model, not a curated record.